UGUCGUAAUGCCUAACCAUCAUUGCAUAGCAAGGGCCGGGCAAGACCGGUGCCAGCCGCCGCGGUAACACCGGCGGCUCGAGUGGUAACCGCUAUUAUUGGGUCUAAAGGGUCUGUAGCCGGCUGACUAACUCUCUUGGGAAAUCUGGCAGCUCAACUGUCAGGCUUUCAGGAGAUACUGAUCGGCUCGAGACCGGGAGAGGUGAGAGGUACCUCAGGGGUAGGGGUGAAAUCUUGUAAUCCUUGAGGGACCACCAGUGGCGAAGGCGUCUCACCAGAACGGAUCUGACGGCAAGGGACGAAAGCUAGGGGCACGAACCGGAUUAGAUACCCGGAUAGUCCUAGCCGUAAACGAUACUCGCUAGGUGUCGGCCACGGUGCGACCGUGGUCGGUGC
This 395-nucleotide ribosomal RNA is filed under the name uncultured archaeon. Its description in RNAcentral is "bacterial SSU rRNA". It matches the Rfam family "Archaeal small subunit ribosomal RNA", at positions 408 to 801 of the family's 1478-position model. The record is from RNAcentral.